This 236-nucleotide long non-coding RNA is filed under the name Sinocyclocheilus grahami. RNAcentral's name for it is "lncRNA (ENSSGRG00000050833.1)". The record is from RNAcentral. Lineage: Eukaryota; Metazoa; Chordata; Actinopteri; Cypriniformes; Cyprinidae.
CUGUGCAUGACUGCCAAGUGCCGUGGAGUUUGAACUCUUAACUGGGCCAGCAGGAGCCGAAAGAUGCAGACAGAUCCAAAGGUUCCAGUCCCUCUCUGUAGGAGUCAAAUCAAUGAGAUGAGGCUGAAUCAAUGAGAUGUCAGUGUUGUCUUAUCAUUGCCUGUUGCAGCUUGAUGAUGAUCUCACAGCUGCAGGUUAUAAUUUGACCAGACAAAAUAAUGGGGAGAAAAAACUUU